GAAGUAAAAGUCGUAACAAGGUUUCGUAGGUGAACCUGCGGAAGGAUCAUU
RNAcentral lists this ribosomal RNA (51 nucleotides) under Urtica hyperborea. RNAcentral describes it as "partial 18S ribosomal RNA". It matches the Rfam family "Eukaryotic small subunit ribosomal RNA", at positions 1779 to 1830 of the family's 1831-position model. The record is from RNAcentral. Lineage: Eukaryota; Viridiplantae; Streptophyta; Magnoliopsida; Rosales; Urticaceae.